UUUUUUUUUUUUUUUUUUUCCAUGAGCCUAAUUUUGUUUAGGCAAUACUUCUGGGAGUGUGCGUGAAAUUAGGGAGCAAAUCCCUUUUGAAGAGCACUUGCCUCUGAAAUUAAUUUUGUGUAAAACCAAGUGAAAUAGAGAGAACCGUACAUUUUAUGUUUCUUUGGGUUUACUUAUGUGAUUCCAUGUUUUCCAAUAUUGUUUACAGUUUUCUUUUUCCCCUAGUGGGAUAAGCUGGUGCAUUAUCUUUGUAGGUUUAUAUGACAUUCGUGCAA
Molecule: unclassified non-coding RNA, 275 nt
Filed under: Hevea brasiliensis (rubber tree)
Lineage: Eukaryota; Viridiplantae; Streptophyta; Magnoliopsida; Malpighiales; Euphorbiaceae
Source: RNAcentral